Chelonia mydas (Green sea turtle) is the source of this 1180-nucleotide long non-coding RNA. RefSeq lists it as uncharacterized. Lineage: Eukaryota; Metazoa; Chordata; Testudines; Cheloniidae. The transcript has 3 exons. The record is from RefSeq and is a predicted model, not a curated record.
ACAUCCAGGAGCCCCUGGCCCCAAAAGCCAUAGCUUGAAGGCAAAUCCGGAGAGGAUUUUAGGGGGCUGGUACCGGUCUCCUCUUUACAGGGUGUGGCUAGGAAGGGCAGGUCGGGUGAGGACACAGAAGGGUUGGGGCAUAUGCAGGCCCAUGGGGGAUUCCCCCUCCCGCUGGCUGUUCAUUAACUCUCCCAAUCUGGCUUCCUUUGGAGUUAAUGGGUGAUGUAGCAGGCUCCCUCCCAACCCAAGGCCUCUCCUCCACAGCACACUCACACCUCCAAGGGCUCUCCGCCUCGAGUGCUCUCAAUCAGGUCCUCCUGGGGACAGAGUCCUUGCCCGAGGGGGAAGCUGCCAUUCUGCCAGGCCUUCAACAGCAUGUGCCCUCCAGAUGCAACGGGGACUAGAGCCCUGGAGUCCUGACUCCCAGCCCCCUGCUCUAACCACCAGCCCUCCCACUGCUGGGAUGGAACCCCGAGGUCUUGACUCCCAGUCUCCAUUGCUCUCUGUGCCUCCAGCUUGCUCCCAAGGAAGCACCUGCGGGGGACCAUGGUUCAUCUGCAGUGUGCUGCCAUCUCCCCAGGAGCGGUAAAGGUCUGGAGGAGGCCUGGCCCAUGAGGGUGAGUGACAAAGUGGGCAUUUUCUGUAACAGUUCUUUGAAGCCUAUGUGUUUCCCCAGUAUUUUGCAUGGCUCCCCAAUGGGAAAGAAAGGACUGUCUGCUCUCAGGGCAGGCUGGUAGACAUAGGUAUGAACGUCACCUUGCUGUCUGAGACUGAAUGAGUCACAACCGCAAAUCAAUGGCAAAUCCAAGAAGAGAAUGGCAAACCUGAUCACCAGGCCAAUGCCACCUAGAGCAGCCAAGGACCCAGAGGGAGAUGGAUUUCCCCACUUCUCAGCAGGGAAGCUGAGCCCAGACCCCAGCUGGAGAAGAAAGGACUGGGAGGGGAAGCUGCGGGUGAAGCGCUGGCUGCUGGAGGAAACUGGCAGCUCCCACCUGGGAACAGACCGAGGUGGGCAGACAGACAGAGCCUGACCCCGGGGCUGGGCUCUGGGCUGAGCCGAAUGGACUGUGCUUUAACCUUCAGCUGUCUGUGCUAAGCCACGGGCUGCCUCUGCUGGUGCCAGGUGACUAAUAAACCGGUUGCCCUGGGGACGCUGCUCGAGGGUCACUGGAAAUGCCGG